RNAcentral lists this unclassified non-coding RNA (129 nucleotides) under Clostridium neonatale. The record is from RNAcentral. Lineage: Bacteria; Bacillati; Bacillota; Clostridia; Eubacteriales; Clostridiaceae.
GGUCUGAGGUACACGAAUCACAUUUGAGGCUCAAAGCUAUGGGUAAGCUUGCACGACAAAGUAAAGCCCUAUAACUAUCCGAAAUAGCUAGAGUAAAUGUGGCAGAUAGAUGAGGUGAAAGUGCGUGUU